Molecule: small nucleolar RNA, 131 nt
Organism: Grammomys surdaster
Lineage: Eukaryota; Metazoa; Chordata; Mammalia; Rodentia; Muridae
Product: small nucleolar RNA SNORA17
Exons: 1
Source: RefSeq, a predicted model, not a curated record
CCUACUCCCAUAGGCAUUGCAGGAGUGGCUGUUGUGUCACGUGUGCAUCAGUAGUAACACAGAGAGGAGAGGCUAUGUCUACACUCAGUCUCCUGACCUAUGAACAUCUCAACAAUUAGUAGCCUACUUAA